CGCGUAGGCGGCCUGCUAAGUCACACGUGAAAUCCCUCGGCUCAACCGGGGAACUGCGUGUGAUACUGGCGGGCUCGAAUUCGGGAGAGGGAUGUGGAAUUCCAGGUGUAGCGGUGAAAUGCGUAGAUAUCUGGAGGAACACCGGUGGCGAAGGCGGCAUCCUGGACCGAGAUUGACGCUGAUGCGCGAAAGCUAGGGUAGCAAACG
This 207-nucleotide ribosomal RNA is filed under the name uncultured bacterium. RNAcentral's name for it is "partial 16S ribosomal RNA". It matches the Rfam family "Bacterial small subunit ribosomal RNA", at positions 568 to 774 of the family's 1533-position model. The record is from RNAcentral.